UGGGGAAUAUUGCACAAUGGGCGCAAGCCUGAUGCAGCCAUGCCGCGUGUAUGAAGAAGGCCUUCGGGUUGUAAAGUACUUUCAGUCGGGAGGAAGGUGGUAAGGUUAAUAACCUUAUCAAUUGACGUUACCGACAGAAGAAGCACCGGCUAACUCCGUGCCAGCAGCCGCGGUAAUACGGAGGGUGCAAGCGUUAAUCGGAAUUACUGGGCGUAAAGCGCACGCAGGCGGUUUGUUAAGUCAGAUGUGAAAUCCCCGGGCUCAACCUGGGAACUGCAUCGGAGACUGGCAAGCUGGAGUCUCGUAGAGGGGGGUAGAAUUCCAGGUGUAGCGGUGAAAUGCGUAGAGAUCUGGAGGAAUACCGGUGGCGAAGGCGGCCCCCUGGACGAAGACUGACGCUCAGGUGCGAAAGCGUGGGGAGCAAACAGG
Molecule: ribosomal RNA, 429 nt
Filed under: Chloroflexota bacterium
Lineage: Bacteria; Bacillati; Chloroflexota
Description: Chloroflexi bacterium partial 16S ribosomal RNA
Rfam family: Bacterial small subunit ribosomal RNA
Source: RNAcentral